This 480-nucleotide ribosomal RNA is filed under the name uncultured organism. Its description in RNAcentral is "partial 16S ribosomal RNA". It matches the Rfam family "Bacterial small subunit ribosomal RNA", at positions 330 to 801 of the family's 1533-position model. The record is from RNAcentral.
CGUACACUCCUACGGGAGGCAGCAGUGGGGAAUAUUGCACAAUGGGCGCAAGCCUGAUGCAGCCAUGCCGCGUGUAUGAAGAAGGCCUUCGGGUUGUAAAGUACUUUCAGCGGGGAGGAAGGCGAUAAGGUUAAUAACCUUGUUGAUUGACGUUACCCGCAGAAGAAGCACCGGCUAACUCCGUGCCAGCAGCCGCGGUAAUACGGAGGGUGCAAGCGUUAAUCGGAAUUACUGGGCGUAAAGCGCACGCAGGCGGUCUGUCAAGUCGGAUGUGAAAUCCCCGGGCUCAACCUGGGAACUGCAUUCGAAACUGGCAGGCUAGAGUCUUGUAGAGGGGGGUAGAAUUCCAGGUGUAGCGGUGAAAUGCGUAGAGAUCUGGAGGAAUACCGGUGGCGAAGGCGGCCCCCUGGACAAAGACUGACGCUCAGGUGCGAAAGCGUGGGGAGCAAACAGGAUUAGAUACCCCAGUAGUCCCAUGAU